RNAcentral lists this ribosomal RNA (497 nucleotides) under uncultured bacterium. RNAcentral's name for it is "partial 16S ribosomal RNA". It matches the Rfam family "Bacterial small subunit ribosomal RNA", at positions 28 to 507 of the family's 1533-position model. The record is from RNAcentral.
GAUGAACGCUGGCGGCGUGCCUAAUACAUGCGAGUCGAGCGAACAGACGAGGAGCUUGCUCCUUUGACGUUAGCGGCGGACGGGUGAGUAACACGUGGGUAACCUACCUAUAAGACUGGGAUAACUUCGGGAAACCGGAGCUAAUACCGGAUAAUAUUUCGAACCGCAUGGUUCGAUAGUGAAAGAUGGCUCUGCUAUCACUUAUAGAUGGACCUGCGCCGUAUUAGCUAGUUGGUAAGGUAACGGCUUACCAAGGCAACGAUACGUAGCCGACCUGAGAGGGUGAUCGGCCACACUGGAACUGAGGCACGGUCCAGACUCCUACGGGAGGCAGCAGUAGGGAAUCUUCCGCAAUGGGCGAAAGCCUGACGGAGCAACGCCGCGUGAGUGAUGAAGGUCUUCGGAUCGUAAAACUCUGUUAUUAGGGAAGAACAAACGUGUAAGUAACUGUGCACGUCUUGACGGUACCUAAUCAGAAAGCCACGGCUAACUACGUG